AACGAACGCUGGCGGCGCGCCUAAUACAUGCAAGUCGAGCGAGAAGGUGUAGCAAUACACUUGUAAAGCGGCGAACGGGUGAGGAAUACAUGGGUAAUCUACCAUCGAGUGGGGAAUAACCAACCGAAAGGUUGGCUAAUACCGCGUACGCCUCCGAGUCUUCGGGUUCGGAGGGAAAGCUGCACUGUGAGUGUAGCGCUCUUUGAUGAGCUCAUGUCCUAUCAGCUUGUUGGUAGGGUAACGGCCUACCAAGGCUUUGACGGGUAGCUGGUCUGAGAGGACGAUCAGCCACACUGGCACUGCGACACGGGCCAGACUCCUACGGGAGGCAGCAGUAAGGAAUAUUGCGCAAUGGGCGAAAGCCUGACGCAGCGACGCCGCGUGGGGGAUGAAGGUCUUCGGAUUGUAAACCCUUCGGGAGGAAGAUGGAGCGAGCAAUCGUUCGGACGGUACCUCCAGAAGCAGCCACGGCCAACUUCGUGCCAGC
RNAcentral lists this ribosomal RNA (487 nucleotides) under uncultured bacterium. RNAcentral's name for it is "bacterial SSU rRNA". It matches the Rfam family "Bacterial small subunit ribosomal RNA", at positions 29 to 512 of the family's 1533-position model. The record is from RNAcentral.